This 283-nucleotide unclassified non-coding RNA is filed under the name soil metagenome. RNAcentral's name for it is "partial contains small subunit ribosomal RNA, internal transcribed spacer 1, and 5.8S ribosomal RNA". The record is from RNAcentral.
UUUCCGUAGGUGAACCUGCGGAAGGAUCAUUAUCAAAAGAUAUUUUCUCCAUAUUUCCCUUGUGUAUAUAUUCCAUGUUGCUUCCACUAGGCUGGCAUACAUAUGAUUGAUUACUAGUAUUCAAUAUGUAUUUAUGCCCUUCAACCAAUUUAAUCCUAAUGGUUGAACAAGUGUCAGUGGAUAGCCUUACCUAUAAGAAAAACCCUUUGUAAAAGCUACUAUAGUCCGAGUUUAUGUUAAAAUAAAUGAAAAAAAACUUUCAACAACGGAUCUCUAGGCUCUU